CUUUAAAAUUAACAUGAAUUUUUCUGUCUGCUGAGAUGACAUAAUAAAAUCUUGCUCACAUAAGCUAGAACUAUGAGAAAGAUGUGGAAUUUAAUGUUUAAAUUCAGUAGUGGCUUGCUGUUUCAUCUAAAUCAGUUUUAACAAAUUAAUGUAGCUUUCUUUAUUCUGAGAAGUGAUUGGAUAAUAUAUUAAUCAAAUUUUACUUAAUUCUUUCCCUGAAUUUAAGAACUUGGAAAGAUGGCUGUGUUCUGCACUGUGAAAUCAAAGUCCAGAGACCAUUUAAAGGACAAUAAUUGCAGAAAACAAAUAAAGAAGAGGAGCCUGAAAUACAUAGAGAUUUUGAAACAAGAAGUGUGAAACAAAUCCUUGUUCUGCUCAGGCCCCCAGCUGUGCAACAUGAUCUAAAACUGUUAAUUAGACUUGUAAUACUUUGACAAAUUCUUCCAGCUGACCUAACCCUGAGGUACGUGUGACUGCUUAUUGUUACUUUCUUUUCAUUCUUAGUUUGUGCUUUUACAAUAUGCAUGUAGAAAGUAAAUGUUCUUGUUAGCUGAAGUUCUGUAAUCUUGUUGUGUCAUUUAAAUAAUUUAAUCCUUUUAGAGUUGUCAAAUUUAUGUUUCAGUGUUUGUCCCAAUGGUCUGGAAGGAUGUAAUCACUA
This 658-nucleotide long non-coding RNA is filed under the name Parus major (Great Tit). RNAcentral's name for it is "lncRNA (ENSPMJG00000015798.1)". The record is from RNAcentral. Lineage: Eukaryota; Metazoa; Chordata; Aves; Passeriformes; Paridae.